GUCGUGGUGGACGUGUAGGCCGUCUGAAAUCAUAUCAACACGCUGGAGGUCAAUACGCGAUAGGUUUAUGCGUGACCUCAAUCAUGAACGAACGGCGCCAAGUGGUUCGGGUACUUCUCGGAGGAAACCUUACCAAUAUGCACCACAUCUUCAAUUUCUUCAACGUUGUUUUCAGCAGCGCAUGACUCAUUCAAGCACACUCCCUCCUGAAGCAGAACCUGUUGAACAUGAGGACUCAACCGAACAAUUGUCUGGACGAUCUACCGAUCAAACUUCAUUACCAUCUCAGUCACAGGAUUCUGCUCUGGAGUCGCGCGGCCGGCAAACUGAGACAUGUGCUCAGAUUGAAGAUACUCGACAGUUCAUUUCUUCUGCCUUUGACAGAGUUUUAAGUAGGCCGAGGCCACUUCGAAGACCACAUAGAGUCUUUGAGGAUCUUGCACUGAUCUUCCGAGAUUGUUUAUUAAAAAUAGAGGAGGAGC
This is a long non-coding RNA of Bufo gargarizans (Asiatic toad), 482 nucleotides long. RefSeq lists it as uncharacterized. Lineage: Eukaryota; Metazoa; Chordata; Amphibia; Anura; Bufonidae. The record is from RefSeq and is a predicted model, not a curated record. The transcript has 3 exons.